This 254-nucleotide long non-coding RNA is filed under the name Phoenix dactylifera (date palm). Its description in RNAcentral is "long non-coding RNA (PDAC_LNC009136)". Lineage: Eukaryota; Viridiplantae; Streptophyta; Magnoliopsida; Arecales; Arecaceae. The record is from RNAcentral.
UGAGAUAGUGUAACACGUUGGCGAAGUGUUGAUUAAUUAAUUUUUCCAAUUUACAUUGCCGGUAUGCAUAUAUAUAGAAGGACAUGAGCUUAACUGACAUAAAGGAAGCUAUCUCACAUCUAAUAGUGGUUGAGCAGCAUAUAUAUGUUUUAUUCUUAACCAUUCAUUCUUGGAGACAUCCCUUUCGUGUUAUUAUAGGCACAGUUGUAUGUCCAUAUCUUAAUGCAUUUAUGUGUAUACUGUGGGUCAUGCAA